AGCGGCCGCGGUAAUUCCAGCUCCAAUAGCGUAUAUUAAAGUUGUUGCAGUUAAAAAGCUCGUAGUUGAAUUUCGGGAUCAAAGAAUCGGUCAUGCCUUGGUAUGUACUGGUUUUAUUGGUUCUCACCUUCUAAAGAACCAUGAUGUCAUUCAUUUGAUGUUAUGGGGAAUUAGGACUGUUACCUUGAAAAAAUUAGAGUGUUUAAAGCAAGCUUACGCUUGAAUACAUUAGCAUGGAAUAAUGAAAUAGGACAUCAGAUUCUAUUUUGUUGGUUUCUAGGAUCGAUGUAAUGAUUAAUAGGGAUAGUUGGGGGCAUUAGUAUUCAAUUGUCAGAGGUGAAAUUCUUGGAUUUAUUGAAGACUAACUACUGCGAAAGCAUUUGCCAAGGAUGUUUUCAUUAAUCAAGAACGAAAGUUAGGGGAUCGAAGACGAUCAGAUACCGUCGUAGUCUUAACCAUAAACUAUGCCGACUAGGGAUCGGAUGAUGUUAAUUUUUUAAUGACUCAUUCGGCGCCUUAC
Molecule: ribosomal RNA, 520 nt
Filed under: uncultured Glomus
Lineage: Eukaryota; Fungi; Glomeromycota; Glomeromycetes; Glomerales; Glomeraceae
Description: SSU rRNA
Rfam family: Eukaryotic small subunit ribosomal RNA
Source: RNAcentral